Long non-coding RNA from Monodelphis domestica (gray short-tailed opossum), 1519 nucleotides. NCBI's taxonomy places the organism in Eukaryota, Metazoa, Chordata, Mammalia, Didelphimorphia, Didelphidae. The record is from Ensembl.
AUGAUGAAAUGGGGCCGAAACCCACGGUUCAGUCUUCCGCCUCCAAUUCCGAACCCCCUGACAGGUGCCUUAUCCCCGCUUAAGCACACCACCCCCACCUCUGGCUCUUUUCAAGCUCGACACCCCCCUUCAAAGAGGCCCACAGGCGGGCGGAUACAGCCGUCGUCUUCCCGCAGAGGGCCACCAGAAGCCGGCCAGCCGGGGAAGCCGGCCGGGAAGCAGCAGCCGUGGCGGCACACGGGGGAGAAGUCGCGUGGGAGAGCGCAGCAGGCGCGGACGUGGAGAGGGGGCGGGGGGGGGGUAGGGAGGUGGCCAGUGCGGCGGGGGACGGGAGCGAGAGGGGCAGUGGGGCAGUGGCAGGAGGAACUCGAGAGCCGAGGCGGGCCACUGGAGGGACCGGCCGGAGAGGGGAGAACACUGGGGGAGAGAGGACAGACUGGUUGGGGAAGGGACGUACACGCAGAAGAGAGACCGAAGACUCUGGGGGUUAGAGACGCGGAAGGGAAUGAAACCCUGUGAGAACCUGUCUAUUGUAAUAGAGACUUCUACAAAAGAAGACAAAGGUCACUGAGGUCCACCUUAGACCCCCAAGACUUGAAGGACAUGAUAGACUGUGGGAAAUGGGGAAGCUUUCUCAAUUGAUGUUGCUAAAGUGAAGUGUCUUUCUUCUGGCUCCCUGUCUCUGCUGAUCUCUGCUGAUCCAGAAUGCCCCCAGAAGCCAAUUCGCAAUACAUGAGCCUUAGUCUCCCUUCUACCAUUGGUAAUCAAGGUUCCACUCACAAGUCCUCUGGGAAACAUCACCCUCCUUCCUUGUGAUGGUCAUUUUUCCUUGUGAUAGUCCAUGGCAGAAUCACUAUGACCAGAAAACUGGAUCACCCUCCAUAGGAUUCGUAGGUUAGUCCUAGAUUGAACAAAUAACCUUCAAAUACCCAUUGAUCACCCCAGAUAGGAUUUGUAGAUAUAAUCAAAAUCCUAAGUCAUACCCUUGGUGUCUUCUUAAUUUCUCUUAUUGUGGCUAGAUCCUGCUCGAGGAGGAAUCUAGCCUAUGACUAGCAUCCUCUUACCCUAUCCUUCAUAUAGGAUAAUCAGUUGUUCUUCCUUUCCUAUUCUCAUCUAAAGACUCCAGAUUCUUUAGUUCCACAGAUAUUCCAUUCUUGGGGGUUUUCCUGCAGACAAUGUUCCCAGAGUUUGAGAGCUGGGUGGCUUUUUGUGGUGGUCAGCCAGAAGAGCAUUGCCUCCCUUGACCUGAUUAAAGACCUUGGGACAUGAAAAUCAAAGUCCACAACACAGCACGCAUGCACGCGCGCUCUAAUACUCAUUAAAAAUGGAACAUUAAAAAUGGAAAAAUGAUUCAUUUCUGUAUGAAGAUAAAAAAAAGAUAAAUAUCAGCUUUGGCUUAAUAGAGGAUUCACUUUAAGAUGACUGAGGGAGUUUGUGCCUUGGAUAGUUCUGGCAGCAGAAACCAGCUUCCAAGAGACUAGAAAGUUGCUGUGCUAAGUCUUCAUCCUAUAGAAGACAA